Molecule: non-coding RNA, 117 nt
Organism: Aspergillus heteromorphus CBS 117.55
Lineage: Eukaryota; Fungi; Ascomycota; Eurotiomycetes; Eurotiales; Aspergillaceae
Source: the annotation of a RefSeq genome assembly
GGGGCAAUGGCGCAUCUGGGAGCGCGUCAGACUGAAGUAAACUUCGGCCAUAGGCUUCAUCCCUCGGGAUGUCCCCUGUAAAUCUGAAGGUGGCCGGUUCAAGCCCGGCUUGCCCCA